This 253-nucleotide ribosomal RNA is filed under the name uncultured bacterium. RNAcentral describes it as "partial 16S ribosomal RNA". It matches the Rfam family "Bacterial small subunit ribosomal RNA", at positions 524 to 776 of the family's 1533-position model. The record is from RNAcentral.
UACGGGGGGAGCAAGCGUUGCUCGGAAUCACUGGGCGUAAAGCGCACGUAGGCGGCUUUCUAAGUCAGGGGUGAAAUCCUGGAGCUCAACUCCAGAACUGCCUUUGAUACUGGAGAGCUUGAGUCCGGAAGAGGUGAGUGGAACUCCGAGUGUAGAGGUGAAAUUCGUAGAUAUUCGGAAGAACACCAGUGGCGAAGGCGGCUCACUGGUCCGGUACUGACGCUGAUGUGCGAAAGCGUGGGGAGCAAACAGG